Delphinapterus leucas (beluga whale) is the source of this 2617-nucleotide non-coding RNA. The record is from RefSeq and is a predicted model, not a curated record. Lineage: Eukaryota; Metazoa; Chordata; Mammalia; Artiodactyla; Monodontidae.
CAAAUAAAGUCACAUUCUGAGGUACUGGGACUCAGGAAUUCAACAUAUUAAUUUGGUGGGGACACAAUUCGGCCCAUAACAGGUCUUCCCUGAAUCCCAAAUUACUUGGCUGGAGCCCUGACAACCUGCCUAGUGUUAGCCUCUCCCCAGAGGAAUAUACUUUGUCCCUGUUUCGCUGGUGGUUAAAUAGGACCCCUUUCACUCAGGAUCAGCCCUCUGAGCCACUUCAGAGCUCCUGUCCGCCCCUCAUUGCCCAUAUCCAACUGAUCACAACUUCCACUCAACCUUUAUUUCUUCUACAACCACACUGUCAUCACUCUUAGUCCAAGAUCACAUUUGCAGAGACGAUGACAACAGCUUUCUACCUCGCUUUCUGUCCCCAGGCCUUUCCUCCACCCACCCAUCCAUCCUCUCUAAUCCAUUUCACCCUCAAAGUCAAAUAUGAUCAUAAAACUUGUCAUAUCAAAUCCUUCAGUGGUUCCCUGUACAAAUAAAACCAUUUCCUUUAACGAGCUCACAAAACUCUUUAUAAACUAGUCCCAGCUACUAUAUCAUCCUUUCAUAAUCAUUCCUGUACUCUGCAAUUUCUGCUAUAUAAACUUAUUUGCAAUUGUUUAUUAAAGUAUCUGUGAGACUAUUCUGUGAACUAUCCCAGGAAAAUGGGUCAGAUUCUGUGUUGAACAUAAACAUUUGAAACAUUGCAGAAAGAGUAUGUAGUGUAAGGAGAGGGCCUUUGGAACUAAACAGAGCUGAAUUCUAAUUCCAUUUCCCCUUCUUUUUAACUUUUUUUAUUGAGAUAUAACUUAUAUACAGAAAAGGGCACAAAUAUUUGUGCAGCUGAGUUUUUAACAUAUGUCCAUACUUUUGAACCACCAUCCAUGUCAAGAUAUAAAACAUUUCUCAUCUAGAAGGUUCCCUGAUACCCCAUCAUAUCCAAACCCCACCCCACAAAAGUAACUACUCUCUUGACUUCUAUGAGGAUUUAUUAGUUUUGCCUGCUUUUGAACUUUAAUAAAUGUAAUAAUACAGUGUGCAGUCUUUCAUAUCUGGCUCUUGUUCAACUUGAAAGCUAAGAGACUCAUUCACAUGUUGAAUGGACCUACCCAUCUCCUCUCCUACGUCUAAUUUCCAUUUGAUAAGUCAUUCUCUACCUGAGCCUGUUUUCUCAAUAAGACUAUCCCUGCAUGACUGAUGUGAGCGUUAGAUGACCUAUAUCAAACCUUACUGAUGCUUUCUGCCACAAAGCAGGCUGUUCCUGAAUUCUAGCUAUUGUUACUGUGAUGUGUAUCUUUUAGAAAAUGGAUCUUUUGAACUAUUAUUGCACUAUAUUCAGUUUGUUUGUUUUUGUUCUUGUUUUUUUAACAGAGUAGUUCAGAGCUACUUUGCCUUCAGGACUGAAAUCUAGGUAACAACAUGUUUAAAUCAAGAUUAUGUGAAGCACCCUUCAAAGGAGAUUUAACAGUGUGCCCUAUCACUUAUCAGCUCUAUCUUAUCUAGGAUCUAUUUCUAGGCUAUUCAUCCUGUCCAUCUCUCUGCCUAUUUCUGUGACUGCUGUUACUGUCAUAGUCUUUUCAUUUUUCAACUGACUCAAGCUCUGGAAAGGUAACUCAAAAGGGGCCACCUGUGAAAUACUGCUAAUGACAGCCUCUUCAAUUUACCAUUAAGAGGGCAACAUAAGCUGCAUUUUCAGAAGGUCUUAUGAUCAACAGGAGCUUGAUGACAUAUAAAACAUAUGAACAGAUGAAAAUAUAUGGACCCUUCUAAAGAAUGCUCGCAGUAGCUUCAAUCAUUAUGAUCUCAAAAUUGAAACAAUGCAAAUAUCAUUCAACAAUGAAAGAAGCCAGACACAAAAGACUACAUAUUGUAUGAUCCUGUUUAUAUUAAGCUCAAGAACACAUGAAUUAAGCUAUGAUGAUAGGAGUUGCAGGAGAGGCUGGCUACCUCUAGGGGAAGAGGAACUGACUGGAAAAUGUCAUAAGGAAAUCUUCUAAGGUGAUGGAAUAUUGCAAAGCUUGGUCUGGGUGAUGGCUACAUGGCUGGAUACAUAUGUGAAAUUAAUUGUGCUAUACAAUUAAGGAACAAAGGAAGUUAGUGUGAAGUGGAAUUACUGGGUCACAGAGGUAUGUAUUUUUGUUUGUUUGUUUCAAUAAAUACCACUGAAUUGGCCUCAGAACUGUCUGUACCAAUUUCAGUUCCCCUUCCUUCACACUAUCACUAACACUUGAUAUUGUCAGGUUUUAAAAUUUUUAUCAAUCUGAUAGGUAAAGAAUGGAUUGUAAUUUGCAAUGCCCUGAUUAUUAGUGAGGUUUAGCAUAUUUUCCUAGUCAUUUGUGUUUUUAUUUCUGUAAAUGACUUGUUUAUAUCUCUUAUCUAUUUUGCUCUCAUGUGUUUUAACUUUAUUGAUUUGUAGAAAUACUUUGUAUAAUUUGGAUAUUGAUCCAUGUUGUAUUUACAUAUGAUACAAAUAUCUUUUUCUAAAUUUGUCACUUCUCUUUGAACUUUGUUCAUGGUAUUUUGUAAUAGAGAUUUAUUUAAAUUUUGAUAUUGUCAAAUUUAUUGGCAAGGUUGUGGGCAUAUUCUUCUAAAUUUUCUUUACCAGCACUUAAAUAAAGUAUCA